GAUGAACGCUAGCGACAGGCUUAACACACGCAAGUCGAGGGGCAGCACGGGAGUAGCAAUACAACUGGUGGCGACCGGCGCACGGGUGAGUAACGCGUAUGCAACCUACCUAUCAGAGGGGAAUAACCCGGCGAAAGUCGGACUAAUACCGCAUAAAACAGGGGCACCGCAUGGUGAUAUUUGUUAAAGAAAUUCGCUGAUAGAUGGGCAUGCGUUCCAUUAGGUAGUUGGUGAGGUAACGGCUAACCAAGCCGACGAUGGAUAGGGGAACUGAGAGGUUGGUCCCCCACACUGGUACUGAGACACGGACCAGACUCCUACGGGAGGCAGCAGUGAGGAAUAUUGGUCAAUGGGCGAGAGCCUGAACCAGCCAAGUCGCGUGAAGGAAGAAGGAUCUAUGGUUCGUAAACUUCUUUUGCAGGGGAAUAAAGUGCAGGACGUGUCCUGUUUUGUAUGUACCCUGAGAAUAAGGAUCGGCUAACUCCGUGCCAGCAGCCGCCGUAA
This 504-nucleotide ribosomal RNA is filed under the name uncultured bacterium. Its description in RNAcentral is "partial 16S ribosomal RNA". It matches the Rfam family "Bacterial small subunit ribosomal RNA", at positions 28 to 523 of the family's 1533-position model. The record is from RNAcentral.